GACGAACGCUGGCGGCAUGCCUAAUACAUGCAAGUCGAACGCUGAAGCACUCUGCUUGCAGAGUGCGGAUGAGUGGCGAACGGGUGAGUAACACGUGGGAAAUCUGCCUAGGAGUGGGGGAUAACAUUCGGAAACGGAUGCUAAUACCGCAUAUCUUUUUGAACCGCAUGGUUCUUAAACGAAAGACGGCUUCGGCUGUCGCUCUUAGAUGAUCCCGCGGCGUAUUAGUUAGUUGGUGGGGUAAAGGCCUACCAAGACCAUGAUACGUAGCCGACCUGAGAGGGUGAUCGGCCACACUGGGACUGAGACACGGCCCAGACUCCUACGGGAGGCAGCAGUAGGGAAUCUUCCACAAUGGGUGAAAACCUGAUGGAGCAAUGCCGCGUGAAUGAAGAAGGUCUUCGGAUCGUAAAGUUCUGUUAUUAGAGAAGAACAAGUCAAGGAGUAACUGGCCUUUAUUUGACGGUAAUCAACCAGAAAGUCACGGCUAACUACGUG
Molecule: ribosomal RNA, 498 nt
Filed under: uncultured bacterium
Lineage: Bacteria
Description: bacterial SSU rRNA
Rfam family: Bacterial small subunit ribosomal RNA
Source: RNAcentral